This 253-nucleotide ribosomal RNA is filed under the name uncultured bacterium. Its description in RNAcentral is "partial 16S ribosomal RNA". It matches the Rfam family "Bacterial small subunit ribosomal RNA", at positions 524 to 776 of the family's 1533-position model. The record is from RNAcentral.
UACAGAGGUCUCAAGCGUUGUUCGGAUUCAUUGGGCGUAAAGAGCUCGUAGGCGGUUUGUCGCGUCUGCUGUGAAAAUCCAGGGCUUAACCCUGGACCUGCAGUGGGUACGGGCAGACUAGAGUGCGGUAGGGGAGAUCGGAAUUCCUGGUGUAGCGGUGAAAUGCGUAGAUAUCUGGAGGAACACCGGUGGCGAAGGCGGCAUCCUGGACCGGCAUUGACGCUGAGGCGCGAAAGCCAGGGGAGCAAACGGG